This 202-nucleotide long non-coding RNA is filed under the name Solanum tuberosum (potato). Its description in RNAcentral is "long non-coding RNA (STUB_LNC011379)". Lineage: Eukaryota; Viridiplantae; Streptophyta; Magnoliopsida; Solanales; Solanaceae. The record is from RNAcentral.
UCUUUGAUUGAAUCAUUGGAUCAUCAAGUGACUAUCAGUAAGAUAUAUUGUUGAUAUCCCAAGUUCUUUCAUUGUGCAAAUUGGGAGGAUGUUGAUUCCAGAUCCUCCAUCGACUAGGAUUCUAUUCACCCUUUUCUCACGUGCAAAACCAACCAUGAUUAAAGGGUGAUUACUAAAUGUGUCACCAAACAAAAGAUCAUCG